This 442-nucleotide ribosomal RNA is filed under the name uncultured bacterium. RNAcentral's name for it is "partial 16S ribosomal RNA". It matches the Rfam family "Bacterial small subunit ribosomal RNA", at positions 338 to 795 of the family's 1533-position model. The record is from RNAcentral.
CCUACGGGAGGCAGCAGUAGGGAAUCUUUCACAAUGGGCGAAAGCCUGAUGGAGCAACGCCGCGUGCAGGAUGAAGGCCUUCGGGUUGUAAACUGCUUUUAUAAGCGAGAAAUAUGAUGGUAACUUAUGAAUAAGGAUCGGCUAACUACGUGCCAGCAGCCGCGGUCAUACGUAGGAUCCGAGCAUUAUCCGGAGUGACUGGGUGUAAAGAGUUGCGUAGGUGGCAUAAUAAGUAGCUAGUGAAAUCUGGUGGCUCAACCAUUCAGACUAUUAGCUAAACUGUUAAGCUCGAGACCGUUAGGGGUAACUGGAAUUUCUAGUGUAGGAGUGAAAUCCGUAGAUAUUAGAAGGAACACCAAUAGCGUAGGCAGGUUGCUGGGACGGUUCUGACACUAAGGCACGAAAGCGUAGGGAGCAAACGGGAUUAGAUACCAGUGUAGUC